Long non-coding RNA from Mustela erminea (ermine), 1114 nucleotides. RefSeq lists it as uncharacterized. The record is from RefSeq and is a predicted model, not a curated record. Lineage: Eukaryota; Metazoa; Chordata; Mammalia; Carnivora; Mustelidae. The transcript has 8 exons.
AACAGGUUGUGUGGGUCAGGUUUUAGGAGCCCCUGUGUGGCCUCUUUCUAUCUUUCUGAUUACCUGCAUUGGAGGAAUCUCUAACAGAUAAGACAGCAUUAUUUGUGAGCCGUUCUUCCUGGCUACCCUGGGAGGGAAGGCUGACAUUGAUACUGAGCUGCUCACUGAUUUCAUAAUCAGAGAUGACACCACUGCAAAAGUCAAGGUUGAGUAUUGCUCUUCUGUGCCUGUUACCCAGCUUGCCUGGAGAGUUCGAGAAGCUCAGCGGUCAAGAUAUGUGACUUUCAGGACAUCUCUCAUUCCCUGCUCUGAAGUCCACUUAAUGCCGCUGUCCAUGUGUUUUGACUUUGGAAGGUUUCAGUGAUAUAGUAACAGAGAAUUGACCUUUUAGAUAAAACGAGUCUCCCGAGCAAGAAACCUGAAGAAAGUCUACACAAAGCCGGCAGAUGGAAGAGCAGAGAAAGUCUUAAUAACACGGCUCAGAAGUAGCAGCAUGAAGAAUGAGACGCAGACCAAAAGCAGCCUCUGGAAGAUCUCUGGGUGUGAGCACCCCCCCACCCCCACCCCAGGAAGGACCAGAGGGAUGUGAGAGCCGCCAUCUUGGGCUGGACCACUGGGCUGUCCUGCCUCCCGCUGUGGCUUGGGGCCUAAGGAUCAUGGGUUUAGAGGUCAGAUCCUGCCAGCAAGCCCCACCCCGGAUUCUCACGGCUGAAAGCCCGGCCACUGUGUACUAGGUCACUUGUGAUGUCAUUCGGAGCCUACCGAGAUAACCAAGGACAGCCUUCUCAUCUCAAGAUCACAUCUACACAAAGGUCCCCAUUGAAGACAACAUGCACAGACUUGAAACUGGAAGGAUAUAAGCCUACAGCUGCUUGGCUCUGCUCCAUGAGGAAUCUGCCCUAAAAUGGAGCCCAUAAGAGGAAAGAAGAACCAAAAUAUGAAGGACAAAUCUAAGAUCCAAUGACCAACUUUUGACUUCCUGGAUCCAGCUGUGCCUGAAAUCAUCUCUAUCCUGGAACAUUUCAGUUGCUUGAACCACAUCACCUUUUUUUCCCCCUUAAAUUAAUGUCAGUUGGAUUUCUGUCAUUUACUAUUGGGAGAGUUCUCAUUAACA